ACUCGCUCACUUCAGAUCUGUUGUCGAGCAACAACAGAAUGUUACUGUUAUUUAACAGUAUUAUAGCAUAUUUUUCGUUGUGCACGACAUUUUGGAUUGUCUGCAUGAGGUAGGUCUGCAACUUUAUCGAUGCUUGUGCUAUUUUUAAAUUACAUAUUACUUUUAAAUAUUGCAUUUUAUCCAGUGAAGCUUUUCAAAAAUAAAUUAGAUUUAAUUUCCUAUUUUAAUCAGGCAAAGUGGGUAUUCUACCAUCACAUCAGUUACACUCACAUCAGAUCACAGGGUUAUUUUGGUGCUUUGGUGCUAUUUUUGUCCUUAUUCCCUUUUCGUGCAUUGUGUAGACAAACAAAUAUUACAGAUAUUAUUAAGAUGUGUGCCACUCCUGCUGACUUUGAGAAGACUAUAACUCACCUGUGACACCUUGUUUGAUCCUGUUUGGUAAAUAUAUGAAAUUUGACAUUUUUCACUAAACAAGGCCCACACUCCAGGCUGACACAACCUUUUACUAUCUUUCUUUCUUUCUUUCUUUGUUAUUCUUUAUGCCAUUCCAGCAUCUUUGGCUAUAUUCAUGGCGAGAAACAGUUAAUCCAUACAAGUUUUAUUCACACAAGUCAAUCCAGACACUGUUUGGGUAGAGACAAUUUGGCAUCUGUGGAUACCCAGAGUAAACCCACGCUGACACAGGGAGAACAUGCAAACUUCAAACAGAAAGACCACCUGACCUAGCCAGGGCUCGAAUCGGGGACCUUGCUGCAUCAGGAGAACAUCAAGCUUUAUGUGCCUCAUUCUGGAGGCCACUGUAUUUGAAACAUGUUUAAUGUGUGACAAACUGAGAACAUUUAAUAUCAGACUUUACACAGAGACUAAAUGAAUUUGUCAUUUUCAGUUUACCUAAACAUUAGUGGCCCUCAAUUACUAUAAAUGUAAUUGUAUCAUGACAAUGCCUCUGAAAAUAGCAUACUGUUAGGUUUCUAUCUUGAAGGACAUGGCACUUUGUG
Molecule: non-coding RNA, 998 nt
Organism: Misgurnus anguillicaudatus (oriental weatherfish)
Lineage: Eukaryota; Metazoa; Chordata; Actinopteri; Cypriniformes; Cobitidae
Source: RefSeq, a predicted model, not a curated record